CUAGGUUGGUCGAUGUUAGGCUUGGAAGUGUGACAGAGAAGGGCUCCUGCACCCCUGUUUGCACAUGCUUGUUUGAGAUUUUUCGGGCUGUGAAACCUCCAGUUCCCGUGUGACCAGACUGCACAUCCGCACUCCCGUGCCCCUGUGCUGGCUGCUUACUCGCCUUUCCCCGCAGCCUGGAGGGGAAAACUCGCUGGAAGAACCCGCGAGAUAAUCAGGUGUCCGUUGGCUUCCAGAUCAAAGAGAAGAAAAGAUCCCGUGACACGAGCAUAGGAGGCGAAAAGCCAAGGACAAAAAGAGAGGAACGCUUGGGACAGGCUGUCGUGAGGCGAAGGCUGAGCUGGGAAAGCAUCCAAACCCAGGACAAGGUGAGGCAGACACUUCCAGCGCUGCGGAGCCUGUGCCGCAGUUGCCCUGAGGAGAGCCAUCUGCCACGGGCUGGGGAUAACCGCGUGCCCGAGCAAGCCUGAGCAUCUGUGGGGACUGCUGCGGCAUCCUGGUGAUGAAGUAGAGCCUGAGAACAUGGUGAAGCAGCACAGAGGGUACUGAAGCAUAGUCUGGCUGUUGAAGGAGCACCACAGAUUGGAGCUCUGCAGGAUGUGUGGCCAGGCACUAAGGACAAGCUCUGCCUCGCAGCGUGGACACAGCGAAGUGCUGGGGCUGCAUCGCAGAUGGGGCGGCGGGGGGCUGUGCCCUGGCUGGGGAUGAGACGGGCUGCGUGGCGCUCUGGGCACUGCUGGGAGGAGGGAGCGGGACGUUGUGUCGGGGAGGCUGAAGUUUGGGCAUUUAGUGAGUGAUGUGCAAUCCUGGCAACGGGAAUUUGCUUGAUGUGCCAAGUGGUUGGGUACCUUGGACUACGAAUGUUCAUCAUGUGAGUA
This 878-nucleotide long non-coding RNA is filed under the name Columba livia (rock pigeon). Its description in RNAcentral is "partial uncharacterized LOC102093691, transcript variant X1". The record is from RNAcentral. Lineage: Eukaryota; Metazoa; Chordata; Aves; Columbiformes; Columbidae.